Molecule: transfer RNA, 70 nt
Filed under: Loxodonta africana (African savanna elephant)
Lineage: Eukaryota; Metazoa; Chordata; Mammalia; Proboscidea; Elephantidae
Rfam family: tRNA
About the family: Transfer RNA (tRNA) molecules are approximately 80 nucleotides in length.
Source: Rfam by way of RNAcentral
GCCCUGGUGGCAUAGUGGUUAAGAGUUUGGCUGCUAACCAAAAGGUCGGCAGUUCAAAUCCACUGGGGUA